Molecule: long non-coding RNA, 466 nt
Organism: Oreochromis aureus
Lineage: Eukaryota; Metazoa; Chordata; Actinopteri; Cichliformes; Cichlidae
Source: Ensembl
GUACAGUGGAAACUGAAAAAACAGCUAGAUGCAUUGAUGUCAUUUUCUCCUUUCUUCAUUUCAUGUUUAUUGACUUAAUUCUUUCUAUGAAAUAGGACAUUUGCCAAUGAUCAGUGGUGUUCUCUCAACACUUAUAAUUCUCUUAGUUGUGGUUGUAGCAGCAAUCUGUGCUCAACGGAAAAAGCAAACCAGCAAAACAAAAGAGGAAGAAAAUGAUCAGGAAGAAAUCUUUGCUGAUCUCAGGGUCGUGAAACGGCAAGCGAAACAACUGGAGAAAAGAGCGGAGAGUUUGGCCAAGUCAAGUACUCAAAGCGUCCUCGGCAGACUGAACCAACAGGAGAUGAUUGUUUGUAUGUUAACGUCCAUAAAUUCAGGUGAUUUAAGUGUUCAGUGCUUCUACACAGACUGCAUCACUGAAGAUGCAUGGAGAGAGGAGCUGAUGUCAAAAUGUCUAAAGGUCUUUCAU